UGCCUCCAUUUGAUACUAGAGUCUCAGUAAAUAGUCUUAAUGGACCAUGCCAUAGACUUCCCCUUGGAUGCCUCAUACUUAGUAUAAUACUCUGAGGAUCCCCAGAUUGGUCAGAAGCUCUCCAAUCAAUAUGUUUUAGAGAAAACUGGCUACUUUAUUGUGGAAGAUACGUGAGACCAUGCACCAUCCUGAAGAUACACCCAAUCCCAGCUGACAGCUCCUCGAACUUCUCUGGAGUCUUGAGAGACUUCCAUGUUCCAGUCGCCUUGAGCCUGGAAUACACACCCUUGGUUACUUUAUAUAAUCUGUGUCCCCGUCACAAUGGGCUAACACCAUGGAAGCGCAGGAAGGAAGCGGUGGGG
Molecule: long non-coding RNA, 362 nt
Organism: Neomonachus schauinslandi (Hawaiian monk seal)
Lineage: Eukaryota; Metazoa; Chordata; Mammalia; Carnivora; Phocidae
Exons: 3
Source: RefSeq, a predicted model, not a curated record